RNAcentral lists this ribosomal RNA (1440 nucleotides) under cyanobacterium WSH-1. RNAcentral describes it as "bacterial SSU rRNA". It matches the Rfam family "Bacterial small subunit ribosomal RNA". Lineage: Bacteria; Bacillati; Cyanobacteriota. The record is from RNAcentral.
AGAGUUUGAUCCUGGCUCAGGAUGAACGCUGGCGGCGUGCUUAACACAUGCAAGUCGAACGAGCCUUCGGGCUAGUGGCGGACGGGUGAGUAACGCGUGGGAAUCUGCCCUCAGGAGGGGGAUAACGGCCGGAAACGGCCGCUAAUACCCCAUAUGCCGAGAGGUGAAAUGAAUUUCGCCUGAGGAUGAGCCCGCGUCUGAUUAGCUAGUUGGUGGGGUAAUGGCCCACCAAGGCGACGAUCAGUAGCUGGUCUGAGAGGAUGAUCAGCCACACUGGGACUGAGACACGGCCCAGACUCCUACGGGAGGCAGCAGUGGGGAAUUUUCCGCAAUGGGCGAAAGCCUGACGGAGCAACGCCGCGUGAGGGAUGAAGGCCUCUGGGCUGUAAACCUCUUUCCUCAAGGAAGAAGACAUGACGGUACUUGAGGAAUAAGCCACGGCUAAUUCCGUGCCAGCAGCCGCGGUAAUACGGGAGUGGCAAGCGUUAUCCGGAAUUAUUGGGCGUAAAGCGUCCGCAGGCGGCCUUGUAAGUCUGUCGUUAAAGCGUGGAGCUUAACUCCAUUUAAGCGAUGGAAACUACAAGGCUUGAGUGUGGUAGGGGCAGAGGGAAUUCCCGGUGUAGCGGUGAAAUGCGUAGAUAUCGGGAAGAACACCAGUGGCGAAGGCGCUCUGCUGGGCCAUAACUGACGCUCAUGGACGAAAGCCAGGGGAGCGAAAGGGAUUAGAUACCCCUGUAGUCCUGGCCGUAAACGAUGAACACUAGGUGUCGGGGGAAUCGACCCCCUCGGUGUCGUAGCUAACGCGUUAAGUGUUCCGCCUGGGGAGUACGCACGCAAGUGUGAAACUCAAAGGAAUUGACGGGGGCCCGCACAAGCGGUGGAGUAUGUGGUUUAAUUCGAUGCAACGCGAAGAACCUUACCAGGGUUUGACAUCCUGCGAAUCCCUUGGAAACGAGGGAGUGCCUUCGGGAGCGCAGAGACAGGUGGUGCAUGGCUGUCGUCAGCUCGUGUCGUGAGAUGUUGGGUUAAGUCCCGCAACGAGCGCAACCCACGUCUUUAGUUGCCAGCAUUCAGUUGGGCACUCUAGAGAGACCGCCGGUGAUAAACCGGAGGAAGGUGUGGAUGACGUCAAGUCAUCAUGCCCCUUACAUCCUGGGCUACACACGUACUACAAUGCUACGGACAAAGGGUUGCAAGCUCGCGAGAGUUAGCUAAUCCCAUAAACCGUGGCUCAGUUCAGAUCGUAGGCUGCAACUCGCCUACGUGAAGGAGGAAUCGCUAGUAAUCGCAGGUCAGCAUACUGCGGUGAAUACGUUCCCGGGCCUUGUACACACCGCCCGUCACACCAUGGAAGUUGGCCAUGCCCGAAGUCGUUACUCCAACCCUUGUGGAGGAGGACGCCGAAGGUGGGGCUGAUGACUGGGGUGAAGUCGUAACAAG